Molecule: ribosomal RNA, 184 nt
Filed under: uncultured Staphylococcus sp.
Lineage: Bacteria; Bacillati; Bacillota; Bacilli; Caryophanales; Staphylococcaceae
Description: partial 16S ribosomal RNA
Rfam family: Bacterial small subunit ribosomal RNA
Source: RNAcentral
ACCGGAGCUAAUACCGGAUAAUAUUUCGAACCGCAUGGUUCGAUAGUGAAAGAUGGCUUUGCUAUCACUUAUAGAUGGACCUGCGCCGUAUUAGCUAGUUGGUAAGGUAACGGCUUACCAAGGCAACGAUACGUAGCCGACCUGAGAGGGUGAUCGGCCACACUGGAACUGAGACACGGUCCAG